Molecule: ribosomal RNA, 490 nt
Filed under: uncultured bacterium
Lineage: Bacteria
Description: partial 16S ribosomal RNA
Rfam family: Bacterial small subunit ribosomal RNA
Source: RNAcentral
AUUGAACGCUGGCGGCAGGCCUAACACAUGCAAGUCGAACGGUAACAGGAAGCAGCUUGCUGCUUUGCUGACGAGUGGCGGACGGGUGAGUAAUGUCUGGGAAACUGCCUGAUGGAGGGGGAUAACUACUGGAAACGGUAGCUAAUACCGCAUAACGUCGCAAGACCAAAGAGGGGGGCCUUAGGGCCUCUUGCCAUCGGAUGUGCCCAGAUGGGAUUAGCUAGUAGGUGGGGUAACGGCUCACCUAGGCGACGAUCCCUAGCUGGUCUGAGGGGAUGACCGGCCACACGGGAACGUAGACACGGUCCAGACUCCUGCGGGAGGCAGCAGUGGGGAAUAUUGGACAAUGGGCGCAAGCCUGAUGCAGCCAUGCCGCGUGUAUGGAGAAGGCCUUCGGGUUGUAAAGUACUUUCAGCGGGGAGGAAGGGAGUAAAGUUAAUACCUUUGCUCAUUGACGGUACCCGCAGAAGAAGCACCGGCUAACUCCGUG